This 446-nucleotide ribosomal RNA is filed under the name uncultured bacterium. RNAcentral describes it as "partial 16S ribosomal RNA". It matches the Rfam family "Bacterial small subunit ribosomal RNA", at positions 338 to 795 of the family's 1533-position model. The record is from RNAcentral.
CCUACGGGAGGCAGCAGUCGAGAAUCAUUCACAAUGGGGGAAACCCUGAUGGUGCGACGCCGCGUGGGGGAAUGAAGGUCUUCGGAUUGUAAACCCCUGUCAUGUGGGAGCAAAUUAAAAAGAUCGUACCACACGAGGAAGAGACGGCUAACUCUGUGCCAGCAGCCGCGGUAAUACAGAGGUCUCAAGCGUUGUUCGGAAUCACUGGGCGUAAAGCGUGCGUAGGCUGUUUCGUAAGUCGUGUGUGAAAGGCGCGGGCUCAACCCGCGGACGGCACAUGAUACUGCGAGACUAGAGUAAUGGAGGGGGAACCGGAAUUCUCGGUGUAGCAGUGAAAUGCGUAGAUAUCGAGAGGAACACUCGUGGCGAAGGCGGGUUCCUGGACAUUAACUGACGCUGAGGCACGAAGGCCAGGGGAGCGAAAGGGAUUAGAUACCCUUGUAGUC